Molecule: ribosomal RNA, 305 nt
Filed under: uncultured bacterium
Lineage: Bacteria
Description: bacterial SSU rRNA
Rfam family: Bacterial small subunit ribosomal RNA
Source: RNAcentral
ACGCACCUACGGGAGGCAGCAGUGGGGGAUAUUGCACAAUGGGGGGAACCCUGAUGCAGCGACGCCGCGUGGGUGAAGGAGCGUUUCGGCGCGUAAAGCCCUAUCGGCAGGGAAGAAGAUGACGGUACCUGACCAAGAAGCCCCGGCUAACUACGUGCCAGCAGCCGCGGUAAUACGUAGGGGGCAAGCGUUAUCCGGAUUUACUGGGUGUAAAGGGGGCGCAGACGGCAGUGCAAGCCAGGAGUGAAAGCCCGGGGCCCAACCCCGGGACUGCUCUUGGAACUGCGUGGCUAGAGUGCAGGAGG